AUUGCUAAUCGAUCCUCCUGCAACACUUGCACUGGGUUAAAUGUCAAUCGUAUUGAUCAUUUAACCCUAGAACAAUUCUUAAUCCUUGAUCAACCAUCCGAUUGGAUCAUGAACUCUAAUGUGUGUGAUCUCAUAGAUCCAAACCUAAGCUGUUAGCAUAGGAAUAAAUUUUUAUACCAAUCGAAGUGACCAUCUAGCAAUGGUACCCGACGACCGG
Molecule: long non-coding RNA, 217 nt
Filed under: Elaeis guineensis (African oil palm)
Lineage: Eukaryota; Viridiplantae; Streptophyta; Magnoliopsida; Arecales; Arecaceae
Description: long non-coding RNA (EGUI_LNC044923)
Source: RNAcentral